This 253-nucleotide ribosomal RNA is filed under the name uncultured prokaryote. RNAcentral's name for it is "partial 16S ribosomal RNA". It matches the Rfam family "Bacterial small subunit ribosomal RNA", at positions 524 to 776 of the family's 1533-position model. The record is from RNAcentral.
UACGAAGGGGGCUAGCGUUGCUCGGAAUGACUGGGCGUAAAGGGCGCGUAGGCGGAGUGCUUUGUCAGACGUGAAAUUCCAGGGCUUAACCUUGGGGCUGCGUUUGAGACGGGCAUUCUAGAGUUUGGAAGAGGGUCGUGGAAUUCCCAGUGUAGAGGUGAAAUUCGUAGAUAUUGGGAAGAACACCGGUGGCGAAGGCGACUUACUGGACACAUAUUGACGCUGAGGUGCGAAAGCGUGGGGAGCAAACAGG